RNAcentral lists this ribosomal RNA (253 nucleotides) under uncultured bacterium. RNAcentral describes it as "partial 16S ribosomal RNA". It matches the Rfam family "Bacterial small subunit ribosomal RNA", at positions 524 to 776 of the family's 1533-position model. The record is from RNAcentral.
UACAGAGGUGGCAAGCGUUGUUCGGAAUUACUGGGCGUAAAGGGCGCGUAGGCGGUCUUGCAAGUCCUGUGUGAAAUCCCUCGGCUCAACUGAGGAACUGCACAGGAAACUGCUUGGCUUGAGUUCGGGAGAGGGAAGCGGAAUUCCGGGUGUAGCGGUGAAAUGCGUAGAUAUCAAGAGGAACACCUGCGGCGAAGGCGGGUUGCUGGGCCGACACUGACGCUGAGGCGCGAAAGCCAGGGGAGCGAACGGG